GGAAUCUUCCACAAUGGGCGCAAGCCUGAUGGAGCAACACCGCGUGAGUGAAGAAGGGUUUCGGCUCGUAAAGCUCUGUUGUAAGAGAAGAACGUGUGUGAGAGUGGAAAGUUCACACAGUGACGGUAACUUACCAGAAAGGGACGGCUAACUACGUGCCAG
RNAcentral lists this ribosomal RNA (162 nucleotides) under uncultured bacterium. RNAcentral's name for it is "partial 16S rRNA". It matches the Rfam family "Bacterial small subunit ribosomal RNA", at positions 358 to 511 of the family's 1533-position model. The record is from RNAcentral.